RNAcentral lists this ribosomal RNA (1010 nucleotides) under Priestia megaterium. RNAcentral describes it as "bacterial SSU rRNA". It matches the Rfam family "Bacterial small subunit ribosomal RNA", at positions 346 to 1348 of the family's 1533-position model. Lineage: Bacteria; Bacillati; Bacillota; Bacilli; Caryophanales; Bacillaceae. The record is from RNAcentral.
AGGCAGCAGUAGGGAAUCUUCCGCAAUGGACGAAAGUCUGACGGAGCAACGCCGCGUGAGUGAUGAAGGCUUUCGGGUCGUAAACUYUGUUGUUAGGGAAGAACAAGUACGAGAGUAACUGCUYGUACCUUGACGGUACCUAACCAGAAAGCCACGGCUAACUACGUGCCAGCAGCCGCGGUAAUACGUAGGUGGCRAGCGUUAUCCGGAAUUAUUGGGCGUAAAGCGCGCGCAGGCGGUUUCUUAAGUCUGAUGUGAAAGCCCACGGCUCAACCGUGGAGGGUCAUUGGAAACUGGGGAACUUGAGUGCAGAAGAGAAAAGCGGAAUUCCACGUGUAGCGGUGAAAUGCGUAGAGAUGUGGAGGAACACCAGUGGCGAAGGCGGCUUUUUGGUCUGUAACUGACGCUGAGGCGCGAAAGCGUGGGGAGCAAACAGGAUUAGAUACCCUGGUAGUCCACGCCGUAAACGAUGAGUGCUAAGUGUUAGAGGGUUUCCGCCCUUUAGUGCUGCAGCUAACGCAUUAAGCACUCCGCCUGGGGAGUACGGUCGCAAGACUGAAACUCAAAGGAAUUGACGGGGGCCCGCACAAGCGGUGGAGCAUGUGGUUUAAUUYGAAGCAACGCGAAGAACCUUACCAGGUCUUGACAUCCUCUGACAACUCUAGAGAUAGAGCGUUCCCCUUCGGGGGACAGAGUGACAGGUGGUGCAUGGUUGUCGUCAGCUCGUGUCGUGAGAUGUUGGGUUAAGUCCCGCAACGAGCGCAACCCUUGAUCUUAGUUGCCAGCAUUUAGUUGGGCACUCUAAGGUGACUGCCGGUGACAAACCGGAGGAAGGUGGGGAUGACGUCAAAUCAUCAUGCCCCUUAUGACCUGGGCUACACACGUGCUACAAUGGAUGGUACAAAGGGCUGCAAGACCGCGAGGUCAAGCCAAUCCCAUAAAACCAUUCUCAGUUCGGAUUGUAGGCUGCAACUCGCCUACAUGAAGCUGGAAUCGCUAGUAAUCGCGGA